Molecule: unclassified non-coding RNA, 691 nt
Filed under: Hevea brasiliensis (rubber tree)
Lineage: Eukaryota; Viridiplantae; Streptophyta; Magnoliopsida; Malpighiales; Euphorbiaceae
Source: RNAcentral
GUCAAGAAACUACCUGUUGUAGAUCCAUACGAAAGGAUCUCUCCUCUCGUUUCCUAACUCCUGUAGGCUUUGAACAUUAGCCUUUUUGUCAAUUCUACGGUGUAGAUUUCUCAUGUUAAUCGAUUGAUCGAACUGAUCGAUAACUCCUUCCAAGCUAUGUUCAAGUUAUGGGGUUCUCAGGAGCAACAAGCUCAGCCACGUCCACAAGAUGCUCCUUCACAAUCUUGGUACCCUCCAUCUGUAGUGAGCUCUAAUUCCUCCCGCCCUGUAACACCAAGUAGCAGCUCUUCUGGUAGCUAUGGUUUGCAACAACAUACAGAUCGGCCACAGUCUCCUUCACACGUGUCACCUGCUGAAGCAGCUGGUAUUAUUGCUCUUUUGAAGGAUAAAAGUGUUGAUGAGCUUCGGAAGCUUUUGUCAGACAAGGAUGCAUACCAUCAAUUUUUACUUUCUGUUGAUCAGGUUAAAAUUCAAAACAAUAUAAGAGAUGAGCUUCGCAAAGAAACUCUGCAGCUGGCAAGGGAGAACUUGGACAAGGAGCCACGCAUAAUGGAGCUAAGGAACCAGUGCAGAAUAAUACGGACAACUGAGUUGGCUGCUGCCCAGGAGAAAUUAAAUGAACUGGAAAAACAGAGAGAAGAGAUUUUGAAGUCCAUCUCCCCUGUAUCCCUUCUCCAAAGGCUUCAAGAAG